Molecule: ribosomal RNA, 391 nt
Filed under: uncultured bacterium
Lineage: Bacteria
Description: bacterial SSU rRNA
Rfam family: Bacterial small subunit ribosomal RNA
Source: RNAcentral
GUGCCAGCCGCCGCGGUAAUACGGAGGGUGCAAGCGUUAUCCGGAUUCACUGGGUUUAAAGGGUGCGUAGGUGGGUAGGUAAGUCAGUGGUGAAAUCCCCGAGCUUAACUUGGGAACUGCCGUUGAUACUAUCUAUCUUGAAUAUCGAGUAGGUAAGCGGAAUAUGUCAUGUAGCGGUGAAAUGCUUAGAUAUGACAUAGAACACCAAUUGCGAAGGCAGCUUACUUCAAGAUUAUUGACACUGAGGCACGAAAGCGUGGGGAUCAAACAGGAUUAGAUACCCUGGUAGUCCACGCCCUAAACGAUGGAUACUCGACAUCAGCGAUAUACUGUUGGUGUCUGAGCGAAAGCAUUAAGUAUCCCACCUGGGAAGUACGACCGCAAGGUUGAA